UAGCAUGCUAUCCUAAGGAUCUGAGCUCACUUGUAGCUCAUGGUUCUCCAAAUGCAUGCAAGAACAUUGGGCGGUCUUUGACUGUUGUGGCCCUUUUGCCACUAGCAGCCACUCAGCUGCCCUACAGAU
Molecule: small nucleolar RNA, 129 nt
Organism: Nothobranchius furzeri (turquoise killifish)
Lineage: Eukaryota; Metazoa; Chordata; Actinopteri; Cyprinodontiformes; Nothobranchiidae
Source: Ensembl